RNAcentral lists this ribosomal RNA (495 nucleotides) under uncultured bacterium. Its description in RNAcentral is "bacterial SSU rRNA". It matches the Rfam family "Bacterial small subunit ribosomal RNA", at positions 373 to 884 of the family's 1533-position model. The record is from RNAcentral.
GGGGGAAACCCUGACGCAGCAACGCCGCGUGGAGGAUGAAGGUCUUUGGAUUGUAAACUCCUUUCGAUCGGGAAGAUGAUGACGGUACCGGAAGAAGAAGCCCCGGCUAACUUCGUGCCAGCAGCCGCGGUAAUACGUAGGGGGCGAGCGUUGUCCGGAUUUACUGGGCGUAAAGCGCGUGUAGGCGGGAGCCAAAGUCGUGCGUGAAAGGUGGGGGCUCAACCCCCACACGCCGUGCGAAACUCGGCUUCUUGAGGGUCGAAGAGGAGCGUGGAAUUCCCGGUGUAGCGGUGAAAUGCGUAGAGAUCGGGAGGAACACCCGUGGCGAAGGCGGCGCUCUGGUCGGCCACUGACGCUGAGACGCGAAAGCGUGGGGAGCGAACGGGAUUAGAUACCCCGGUAGUCCACGCCGUAAACGAUGGUCACUAGGUGUCGGCGGUAUCGACCCCGCCGGUGCCGCAGCUAACGCAAUAAGUGACCCGCCUGGGGAGUACG